RNAcentral lists this long non-coding RNA (1188 nucleotides) under Gossypium barbadense (sea-island cotton). RNAcentral describes it as "long non-coding RNA (GBAR_LNC012176)". The record is from RNAcentral. Lineage: Eukaryota; Viridiplantae; Streptophyta; Magnoliopsida; Malvales; Malvaceae.
CUGAAUUUACUGUAAUUGAAUUCAUCACUUUGUUAGCUUAUAUUUUCAAUUUGAAAUGAUUGCAGAAAAUGAUCAAAUUCUCUUGUUUUUUUUUCCUUUCUUAACAAGAACAAGCCAAAUUUAUUUUCUUAUCAGAUAAUAAUUGUUUUUUUCUCUAAGUUAAUUUUUUUAAAAUUGUUUAAUAACACUGUAGUGGCCCAAUUUCGCCCAGGCCCAUACCAAAAUAAAAAGUAAACAAACAAAUUAAAUACAAGUCCAUCCUACAGCAGCCCAAUACAAGCCCAAAUAUUUUUUUUUCAGAAACAACAAACCCUAGGGUACCCCUUGCACUGCAGCCCCACGUUCAGCAUCCCUCCACCAUGCACGUAGGCACAUCAGGCAUGACCCCCAGCCCGCGUUGCACGCCCCACGUUGUGCACUCCUCCUUCACGUCCUCACAGCACCUGCGAUUUGAGCAAAGAAAUAGGCAGAAACUGCUUGUAUUUUGGCUAUAAAUCCUUCGAAUUUUUUCAUUGUAAAGGGGGGAUUUUUGACCCUUUUUUUUUCAGAGAAAUAGAAUAUGGAUACAAUAGCAAUAUACAAGGAAAACAUUAAAAUACAGAGAAAUCAAAUCAAUUGAAAAAGGUUGCGGUUAUUCCUUUUCUAAUUUAUCUUGUUUUUUUCUCUUCUUUUUUUAGUGUGUUCUUACUUUGUGAUUGCAAAAAAAUAACAGAAUAAGGAAGGAAGAGGGCUUACCAGAACACGGCCUUGAAUCAAGGUUGAAAACCCAUUUUUUAAGUGCUGCUAGCCACCGAGUGUGGUGGUGUUUCAGUUUUGCGGUGGGGGGAAAGAACCAAUCGGCGCAUGGAGAUUGGGAUGUAGCCUUAGCAGAGCAAGAAUGGGAACGCUUUUUUUUAAUUUGAUGCAAAUGGUUUUGGGCAAACAAAAUGGUUUAAUAUUUUAUGUAUAAUAAAAUGGUGUUGUUUGGGUUAAAUGGGUAGGAUCUGCACAUUCUAGCCUAAAAUGGGAAAUUUCAUGAUCAAUCCCCAUCUUUUGCACCGCUAUUUAAUUAGGCUCUAUUCAUUUUUCUUAUUUGUUUUUAAAUUUUUGCCCGGGAAUUUGGUGUCAAUUACAUUUUAGUCCGCAUUGAAGCACCGUGUUUUGGAGAUUUGGGUUAUUUUCAUUUUUAAUCCUCGCUCGUUUGUGCAC